GACAGAGGUGGCAAGCGUUGUUCGGAUUCAUUGGGUGUAAAGGGUUCGUAGGUGGCCCAGCAAGUCUGACGUGAAAUCCCAUGGCUCAACCGUGGAACUGCGUUGGAAACUGCAGGGCUUGAGUACCGCAGAGGUAAAGGGAAUUCCCGGUGUAAGGGUGAAAUCUGUAGAUAUCGGGAGGAACACCAGUGGCGAAGGCGCUUUACUGGGCGGUUACUGACACUGAGGAACGAAAGCAAGGGGAGCAAACAGG
RNAcentral lists this ribosomal RNA (253 nucleotides) under uncultured bacterium. RNAcentral's name for it is "partial 16S ribosomal RNA". It matches the Rfam family "Bacterial small subunit ribosomal RNA", at positions 524 to 776 of the family's 1533-position model. The record is from RNAcentral.